Molecule: ribosomal RNA, 506 nt
Filed under: uncultured bacterium
Lineage: Bacteria
Description: partial 16S ribosomal RNA
Rfam family: Bacterial small subunit ribosomal RNA
Source: RNAcentral
GACGAACGCUAGCUACAGGCUUAACACAUGCAAGUCGAGGGGUAACGAGAGGAAAGCUUGCUUUCCUUGUCGACGACCGGCGCACGGGUGAGUAACGCGUAUCCAACCUGCCCCCAACUAGGGAAUAACCUUGCGAAAGUAAGACUAAUACCCUAUAAUUUCCUCAGAUGUCAUCUGACGAGGAAUAAAGAUUUAUCGGUUGUGGAUGGGGAUGCGUCUGAUUAGCUUGUUGGCGGGGUAACGGCCCACCAAGGCAACGAUCAGUAGGGGUUCUGAGAGGAAAGUCCCCCACAUUGGAACUGAGACACGGUACAAACUCCUACGGGAGGCAGCAGUGAGGAAUAUUGGUCAAUGGGCGGAAGCCUGAACCAGCCAAGUAGCGUGCAGGAUGACGGCCCUAUGGGUUGUAAACUGCUUUUAUACAGGAAUAAAGUUAGCCACGUGUGGUUAUUCGUAGGUACUGUAUGAAUAAGGACCGGCUAAUUCCGUGCCAGCCGCCGCCGUAA